RNAcentral lists this ribosomal RNA (447 nucleotides) under uncultured bacterium. Its description in RNAcentral is "bacterial SSU rRNA". It matches the Rfam family "Bacterial small subunit ribosomal RNA", at positions 330 to 794 of the family's 1533-position model. The record is from RNAcentral.
UCCAGACUCCUACGGGAGGCAGCAGUGGGGAAUAUUGCACAAUGGGGGAAACCCUGAUGCAGCGACGCCGCGUGAGUGAAGAAGUAUUUCGGUAUGUAAAGCUCUAUCAGCAGGGAAGAUAAUGACGGUACCUGACUAAGAAGCCCCGGCUAACUACGUGCCAGCAGCCGCGGUAAUACGUAGGGGGCAAGCGUUAUCCGGAUUUACUGGGUGUAAAGGGUGCGCAGGUGGCAGGGCAAGUCAGAUGUGAAAGCCCGGGGCUCAACCCCGGUAUUGCAUUUGAAACUGUCCGGCUAGAGUGCAGGAGAGGUAAGCGGAAUUCCUAGUGUAGCGGUGAAAUGCGUAGAUAUUAGGAGGAACACCAGUGGCGAAGGCGGCUUACUGGACUGUAACUGACACUGAGGCACGAAAGCGUGGGGAGCAAACAGGAUUAGAUACCCGAGUAGA